AGUAAGUUGCCAGAGUCCGGUAAUGGCCCGCCCUGCUAAGGCGAGAGAACCGAAAGGUUGCAAGGGUUCGAAUCCCUUACUUACUG
Molecule: transfer RNA, 86 nt
Filed under: Neolewinella agarilytica
Lineage: Bacteria; Pseudomonadati; Bacteroidota; Saprospiria; Saprospirales; Lewinellaceae
Description: Lewinella agarilytica tRNA
Rfam family: tRNA
About the family: Transfer RNA (tRNA) molecules are approximately 80 nucleotides in length. Their secondary structure includes four short double-helical elements and three loops (D, anti-codon, and T loops).
Source: Rfam by way of RNAcentral